ACUCCUACGGGAGGUAGCAGUGAGGAAUUUUCUACAAUGGGCGAAAGCCUGAUGGAGCAAUACCGCGUGAGGGAUGAAGGUCCGUGGAUCGUAAACCUCUUUUCUCAGAGAAGAAAUUCUGACGGUAUCUGAGGAAUAAGCACCGGCUAACCCUGUGCCAGCAGCCGCGGUAAU
This 174-nucleotide ribosomal RNA is filed under the name uncultured bacterium. RNAcentral's name for it is "partial 16S ribosomal RNA". It matches the Rfam family "Bacterial small subunit ribosomal RNA", at positions 335 to 524 of the family's 1533-position model. The record is from RNAcentral.